GUCGGCUGAUCGGACAUCUCGUCGUCCAGGACCCUGAACAGCCCCCCAGCCCCCCUUGAUCGCGGGCCGGUCGGCCGACAGACCUAAACCCCUCCCCUACCGAGCCCGCGCGGUCUUCCCCCCCCCAACCGCGCGGGCU
This 139-nucleotide small RNA is filed under the name Caulobacter henricii. RNAcentral describes it as "Caulobacter sRNA CC3664". It matches the Rfam family "Caulobacter sRNA CC3664". The record is from Rfam by way of RNAcentral. Lineage: Bacteria; Pseudomonadati; Pseudomonadota; Alphaproteobacteria; Caulobacterales; Caulobacteraceae.